AAACUAAUAGAUGGAUAGCUUGGUUUGGACUGUUACGAAGGACGUGGCAAGCUGCGAUAAGCUUCGGCGAGGUGCAUGCGACCAUUGAACCGAAGAUCUCCGAAUGCGACAACGUUUCCUUAGGGAAAUGCAGAAAUGCAAAUGCACGCCGGGAAUUGAAACAUCUUAGUACCGGCAGGAAAAGAAAGAAAAUCGAUUCCCCCAUUAGUGGCGAACGAAAAGGGAAGAGGGCAAACUGAAUCUCCGUCGGAAACGGCGGCAGAGAUGUGGUGAGGGCUCAUGGCUAAGUCAAUGAAUUAAAGUUCUCUGGAAAGAGGCGCCUUAGAGGGUGAUAGCCCCGUGAAUUAAAUUGAUAUGCUGUGCCUCAAAAGAGUAGGGCCUCUUGGAUAAGAGGUCUGAAUAUGGGCGGAUUAACUCCCAACCCUAAACAUAAGUCCAAGUCCGAUAGCGAACUUAGUACCGCGAGGGAAAGCUGAAAAGUACUCUUAAAAGAGUGUGAAAAGACUUGAAAUCUAUUAGUAACAGCUAGUUACUGCUCUAAGGAGCUGUAACGUACGUUUGGAAAAAUGGGCCAAGGAGUUUAUUUAAGUGGCGAGGUUAAAAUGAAGCCGCAGCGAAAGCGAGUAUGAAAAUGCGUUAGUCACUUGAAUCAGACCCGAAGCUGGAUGAUCUAUUCGUGGGCAGGCCGAAGUUUUUCGAAAGGGAAAUGGAGGGCCGAACCAGUGUUGUGUGCAUGCACUUGGAUGACCUGCGAAUAGGGGUGAAAAGCCUAUCUAAUUCAGCGAUGGCUGGUUCCUGUCGAAAUAUGCCUUAGUAUAGUCUUGCCUAGUUUGUUAACGAGGUAAAGUACGGAUAGAAUUUGCAGGAUUGAAAGAUUACGGAAUUCAUUCCAACUCUGAACUUGUUAACUGCGUAAGGCAGGAAUGGGGAACAGUGCGUAAGGUACUGCUUCUAGACCCGAACAAGGGAGACUAAAGUUAAGGUCCCAAAAUGUAUGCUAAGUGUAACAAAAGGAGUCUUGAACCUGAGACAGUAGGGAUGUAGGCUUAGAAGCAGCCAUCAUUUAAAGAAAGCGUAAUAGCUCACCUAUCGAGGUUUGAGGCCCUGAAAAUGGACGGGGCUAAGCAUACUACCGAUACUUUAGAGGCGCUCAUUAGAGCGUUCUGGUAGGCAGGCGUCUUUUCUGCGCAGAAGCGUUUUCGAGAGAAAGCGUGGAGCGGGAAGGAACGAGAAUCUUGGCGUCAGUAAGAUCUGAUUACUCUGAGAACGAGUAGCGUCGCAAGAGCAAGGUUUCCUCGGCAAUAUCGUUUAACCGAGGGUUAGUCGGUGCCUAAGUCAUAUCUUAAUUGCGUAUGGCGAAUGGAAAUCCGGUUAAUAUUCCGGAACUUGAAAAUUCUUACGAGUGUAAAUUGCUUCUGGACAGGCAGGCACCCGAAAGGGUGUUGAGUCAUUGAAAUCUGUGGAUCGUAAUGAUAAGAAGCAGAUGAACGUGGCAAGGGAAAGCUGUUGAAUCCAGGGGUCCGUGAAAAGUUUAUGCUAUUGAAUAUCAAGCCGUACCUAGAUUUAACACUAAUGCUCUGGCUAAGUAGGCUAAGACGUGAAAGGCUAAACUGCUUAAGGGAACUCGGCAUAUUGGCCCUGUAUCUUCGGUAUAAGGGGUGUCUAUAGAUGUCUUUGAUAUUAGAAGGCGUUAGUAGAUCGCAGUGACAAGGACUGCCCGACUGUUUAUCAAAAACGUAGCUGGUUGCUAAUCUGAAAAGACUUGUAUAACCGGUGAGACCUGCCCAGUGGCGGGUUGUGAAACUUCGGUUCAACGGAGCUAAGCCCCGCUAAACGGCGGGCCUAUCUAUGAGGCUCUUAAGGUUGAACGGCAUACGAACUGCCUUACAUUUUAUCGUUGAUAAAAUGCUCCAACCUGACAGAUAGAAAGAUAAAUGGUUUCAAAAUAUGCAUGAGUUAAACCAAAAUAAGUGGAGAAAAUCGAGCUAUAUGCUGGAACAUCCGAGUAUAUUUUGAUACUUAGAAAUAAGUGAAAAUUCAAAAUUGCGGACAAUCAGCAGGAAAGACGGGAAUUAUUUAUUAAUCUAAAAGAGACAACAUAAUAGAAAGGUUUAAAUAGAAGUUUUAAAUUGAAAUUUUAUGAAACAAGCAGAAAGAAAAUUGUAUAAGGCUACUUACGCAUCUUCUAUAACGGAACCUGAUGAAGGAAGAUUAGUAAGAGAAGAUGGAUAUGUUGGCUCUUUAGAUAGUAAAAAAUAUGAAGCAAUUAGAAAAAUUUUAAGGGAAGCAACUGCACGAAUCACAAGAGCGACCAAAAAAGUGUAGAACUAAUUGUUGACUUAUCAGAAAAAGAAUAAUUUUCUUGUAUCCUCAGAGACUACACGCUCGACACAAUCAACAUAAAAGUUUAUAAGUGCUAAAAUUCAUAUAAUUAUAAUAAACUCCAUAGGAUCUGUAAAAAGGAUCCUAUGAUUUUUUAAUUACAUGAAAAAAGUUGCUAUUUAUAUUGAUGGAAGCAAUUUUUAUUUUUCUGUUAAAAAGAAAUUUAAUUGUAAAGUUGAUAUAAAGAAAUUCUGCGAAAAAUUGGCAAACAAUAAUAAAUUAGUAAAGAUAAACUAUUACAUUGCACCAAUUGAACAGCAGAUUAAUCCAAAAAUGUAUGCAGAACAACAAAGCUUUUUCUUUAAGUUAGAGAAAAUACCUAAGUUAAAAAUAGUUUUUGGAAGACUUGAAAAAAGAAAACAAGAUGGGAAAGAAUAUUUUGUUGAAAAAGCAACUGAUGUAAAUUUAGCACUUGAUAUUGUUUUAGAUGCGCAGG
Molecule: ribosomal RNA, 2818 nt
Filed under: groundwater metagenome
Description: bacterial LSU rRNA
Rfam family: Archaeal large subunit ribosomal RNA (bases 1-1990)
Source: RNAcentral